CCUACGGGGGGCAGCAGUGAGGAAUAUUGGUCAAUGGGCGCGAGCCUGAACCAGCCAAGUAGCGUGAAGGAUGACUGCCCUACGGGUUGUAAACUUCUUUUAUAAAGGAAUAAAGUGAGGCACGUGUGCCUUUUUGUAUGUACUUUAUGAAUAAGGAUCGGCUAACUCCGUGCCAGCAGCCGCGGUAAUACGGAGGAUCCGAGCGUUAUCCGGAUUUAUUGGGUUUAAAGGGUGCGUAGAUGGGUUGUUAAGUCAGUGGUGAAAGUUUGCGGCUCAACCGUAAAAUUGCAAUUGAUACUGGCAGUCUUGAGUUCAGUUGAGGUAGGCGGAAUGCGUGGUGUAGCGGUGAAAUGCUUAGAUAUCACGAAGAACUCCGAUUGCGAAGGCAGCUUACUAAACUGCCACUGACAUUGAUGCUCGAAAGCGUGGGGAGCAAACAGGAUUAGAUACCCGGGUAGUC
Molecule: ribosomal RNA, 460 nt
Filed under: uncultured bacterium
Lineage: Bacteria
Description: partial 16S ribosomal RNA
Rfam family: Bacterial small subunit ribosomal RNA
Source: RNAcentral